GGGGCUGUAGCUCAGUGGCAGAGCGGCUUGCCUAGCAUAUAUAAGACCCUGGUACAUGCCUAGCAUGUAUAAGACCCUGGGUUUGAUCCUCAGCACCACUA
RNAcentral lists this transfer RNA (101 nucleotides) under Marmota monax (woodchuck). RNAcentral's name for it is "tRNA.Ala". The record is from RNAcentral. Lineage: Eukaryota; Metazoa; Chordata; Mammalia; Rodentia; Sciuridae.